GUGCUCGCUUUGCCAGCACAUAUAUUAAAAACUUGGAACCAUACAGAGAAGAUUAGGAUGUGGCCCCUGUGCAAGGAUGAUACGCAAAUUUGCGAAACAUUACAUAAAAAA
This is a small nuclear RNA of Panthera leo (lion), 111 nucleotides long. NCBI's taxonomy places the organism in Eukaryota, Metazoa, Chordata, Mammalia, Carnivora, Felidae. The record is from Ensembl.